This 242-nucleotide ribosomal RNA is filed under the name Microbacterium thalli. Its description in RNAcentral is "partial 23S ribosomal RNA". It matches the Rfam family "Bacterial large subunit ribosomal RNA", at positions 1766 to 2007 of the family's 2925-position model. The record is from RNAcentral. Lineage: Bacteria; Bacillati; Actinomycetota; Actinomycetes; Micrococcales; Microbacteriaceae.
UUAACGGAAAGCCGCAGUGAAUAGGCCCAAGCGACUGUUUAGCAAAAACACAGCUCUCUGCGAAGCCGUAAGGCGAAGUAUAGGGGGUGACACCUGCCCGGUGCUGGAAGGUUAAGGAGAGGGGUUAGCGUAAGCGAAGCUCUGAACUGAAGCCCCAGUAAACGGCGGCCGUAACUAUAACGGUCCUAAGGUAGCGAAAUUCCUUGUCGGGUAAGUUCCGACCCGCACGAAAGGCGUAACGA